CCCUUAGAUGUCCUGGGCCGCACGCGCGCUACACUGAACGGAUCAGCGCGUUUUCCCUUCCCGAGAGGGACGGGUAACCCGCUGAACCCCCUUCGUGGUAGGGAUCGGAGCUUGCAAUUAUUCUCCGUGAACCAGGAAUUCCCAGUAAGCGCAAGUCAUAAGCUUGCGUUGAUUACGUCCCUGCCCUUUGUACACACCGCCCGUCGCUACUACCGAUUGGACGUUUUAGUGAGGAUUUUGGACUGAGCCAAUGGUGGUUCACACCACUGUUGUGCAUGGAAAGAUCUCCAAACUUGAGCGUUUAGAGGAAGUAAAAGUCGUAACA
RNAcentral lists this ribosomal RNA (325 nucleotides) under uncultured eukaryote. RNAcentral describes it as "partial 18S ribosomal RNA". It matches the Rfam family "Eukaryotic small subunit ribosomal RNA", at positions 1470 to 1796 of the family's 1831-position model. The record is from RNAcentral.